Molecule: ribosomal RNA, 543 nt
Filed under: Mycobacterium terrae
Lineage: Bacteria; Bacillati; Actinomycetota; Actinomycetes; Mycobacteriales; Mycobacteriaceae
Description: Mycolicibacter terrae bacterial SSU rRNA
Rfam family: Bacterial small subunit ribosomal RNA
Source: RNAcentral
UUCGAGGGCCUUUCGGGGUCUCGAGUGGCGACGGGUGAGUAACACGUGGGUGAUCUGCCCUGCACUCUGGGAUAAGCCUGGGAAACUGGGUCUAAUACCGGAUAGGACCAUGGGAUGCAUGUUCUGUGGUGGAAAGCUUUUGCGGUGUGGGAUGGGCCCGCGGCCUAUCAGCUUGUUGGUGGGGUGAUGGCCUACCAAGGCGACGACGGGUAGCCGGCCUGAGAGGGUGUCCGGCCACACUGGGACUGAGAUACGGCCCAGACUCCUACGGGAGGCAGCAGUGGGGAAUAUUGCACAAUGGGCGCAAGCCUGAUGCAGCGACGCCGCGUGGGGGAUGACGGCCUUCGGGUUGUAAACCUCUUUCAGUAUCGGCGAAGCUCCGUGGUUUUCUGCGGGGUGACGGUAGGUACAGAAGAAGCACCGGCCAACUACGUGCCAGCAGCCGCGGUAAUACGUAGGGUGCGAGCGUUGUCCGGAAUUACUGGGCGUAAAGAGCUCGUAGGUGGUUUGUCGCGUUGUUCUGAAAAAUCUCACAAGGGGGGG